RNAcentral lists this ribosomal RNA (429 nucleotides) under uncultured Citrobacter sp. Its description in RNAcentral is "bacterial SSU rRNA". It matches the Rfam family "Bacterial small subunit ribosomal RNA", at positions 355 to 776 of the family's 1533-position model. The record is from RNAcentral. Lineage: Bacteria; Pseudomonadati; Pseudomonadota; Gammaproteobacteria; Enterobacterales; Enterobacteriaceae.
UGGGGAAUAUUGCACAAUGGGCGCAAGCCUGAUGCAGCCAUGCCGCGUGUAUGAAGAAGGCCUUCGGGUUGUAAAGUACUUUCAGCGAGGAGGAAGGUGUUGUGGUUAAUAACUGCAGCAAUUGACGUUACUCGCAGAAGAAGCACCGGCUAACUCCGUGCCAGCAGCCGCGGUAAUACGGAGGGUGCAAGCGUUAAUCGGAAUUACUGGGCGUAAAGCGCACGCAGGCGGUCUGUCAAGUCGGAUGUGAAAUCCCCGGGCUCAACCUGGGAACUGCAUCCGAAACUGGCAGGCUAGAGUCUUGUAGAGGGGGGUAGAAUUCCAGGUGUAGCGGUGAAAUGCGUAGAGAUCUGGAGGAAUACCGGUGGCGAAGGCGGCCCCCUGGACAAAGACUGACGCUCAGGUGCGAAAGCGUGGGGAGCAAACAGG